Molecule: ribosomal RNA, 253 nt
Filed under: uncultured bacterium
Lineage: Bacteria
Description: partial 16S ribosomal RNA
Rfam family: Bacterial small subunit ribosomal RNA
Source: RNAcentral
UACGUAGGAGGCGAGCGUUGUCCGGAUUUACUGGGCGUAAAGCGCGCGCAGGCGGCAUACUAAGUACGGAGUGAAAUCUCCCUGCUCAACGGGGAGGGAGCUUUGUAAACUGGUAAGCUAGAGGACGGUAGAGGGGGGUAGAAUUGCUGGUGUAGCGGUGAAAUGCGUAGAGAUCAGCAGGAAUACCCGUGGCGAAGGCGGCCCCCUGGGCCGAACCUGACGCUGAGGCGCGAAGGCUAGGGGAGCGAACGGG